GUGCCAGCCGCCGCGGUAAUACAGAGGUCUCAAGCGUUGUUCGGAAUCACUGGGCGUAAAGCGUGCGUAGGCUGUUUCGUAAGUCGUGUGUGAAAGGCGCGGGCUCAACCCGCGGACGGCACAUGAUACUGCGAGACUAGAGUAAUGGAGGGGGAACCGGAAUUCUCGGUGUAGCAGUGAAAUGCGUAGAUAUCGAGAGGAACACUCGUGGCGAAGGCGGGUUCCUGGACAUUAACUGACGCUGAGGCACGAAGGCCAGGGGAGCGAAAGGGAUUAGAUACCCCUGUAGUCCUGGCAGUAAACGGUGCACGCUUGGUGUGCGGGGAAUCGACCCCCUGCGUGCCGGAGCUAACGCGUUAAGCGUGCCGCCUGGGGAGUACGGUCGCAAGAUUAAAACUCAAAUAAAUUGGCGG
This 413-nucleotide ribosomal RNA is filed under the name uncultured bacterium. RNAcentral describes it as "bacterial SSU rRNA". It matches the Rfam family "Bacterial small subunit ribosomal RNA", at positions 505 to 916 of the family's 1533-position model. The record is from RNAcentral.